GGUUCAUAGCCACGUCGCCGGUAGCCAAAAUUUGGCAGUGAUCGGUGAUGUCAGUAUAGAACCUAAAUCAAUUCCUUGUUUCGCAUGCUGAUAGGAACCUGUGGACCGAUAAUCUCCGUUCGUCCAUGGAGCCACUUUCUGCGAUUACAAUC
Andrographis paniculata is the source of this 152-nucleotide small nucleolar RNA. RefSeq annotates it as small nucleolar RNA snoR2/U65. The transcript has a single exon. NCBI's taxonomy places the organism in Eukaryota, Viridiplantae, Streptophyta, Magnoliopsida, Lamiales, Acanthaceae. The record is from RefSeq and is a predicted model, not a curated record.